RNAcentral lists this ribosomal RNA (446 nucleotides) under uncultured bacterium. Its description in RNAcentral is "partial 16S ribosomal RNA". It matches the Rfam family "Bacterial small subunit ribosomal RNA", at positions 338 to 795 of the family's 1533-position model. The record is from RNAcentral.
CCUACGGGUGGCUGCAGUAGGGAAUUUUCGGCAAUGGGGGGAACCCUGACCGAGCAACGCCGCGUGAACGAUGACGUCAUUCGUAAUGUAAAGUUCUUUUAACCGGGAAGAAAGAGAAAUUUGACGGUACCUGAAGACUAAGCCCCGGCUAACUACGUGCCAGCAGCCGCGGUAAUACGUAGGGGGCGAGCGUUAUCCGGAAUUAUUGGGCGUAAAGGGUGCGUAGAUGGCAUAGUAAGUCUUGUGUAAAAAUGCUGGGCUCAACCCAGUAGGGCAAAAGAUACUGCAACGCUAGAGUAUGCCAGAGGUAAGUGGAACUACAGGUGUAGCGGUAAAAUGCGUAGAUAUAUGGAAGAACACCAGUGGCGAAGGCGGCGUGCUGGGUCGCUACUGACAUUGAGGCACGAAAGCGUGGGGAGCAAACAGGAUUAGAUACCCCAGUAGUC